GACGAACGCUGGCGGCGUGCUUAACACAUGCAAGUCGAACGGAAAGGCCCUGCUUUUGUGGGGUGCUCGAGUGGCGAACGGGUGAGUAACACGUGAGUAACCUGCCCUUGACCUUGGGAUAACUUCAGGAAACUGGGGCUAAUACCGGAUAGGAGCUCCUGCUGCAUGGUGGGGGUUGGAAAGUUUCGGCGGUUGGGGAUGGACUCGCGGCUUAUCAGCUUGUUGGUGGGGUAGUGGCUUACCAAGGCUUUGACGGGUAGCCGGCCUGGGAGGGUGACCUGCCACAUUGGGACUGAGAUACGGCCCAGACUCCUACGGGAGGCAGCAGUGGGGAAUAUUACACAAUGGGCGGAAGCCUGAUGCAGCAACGCCGCGUGCGGGAUGACAGCCUUCGGUUUGUAAACCGCUUUCGCCUGUGACGAAGCGUGAGUGACGGUAAUGGGUAAAGAAGCACCGGCUAACUACGUG
This 468-nucleotide ribosomal RNA is filed under the name uncultured bacterium. RNAcentral's name for it is "partial 16S ribosomal RNA". It matches the Rfam family "Bacterial small subunit ribosomal RNA", at positions 28 to 507 of the family's 1533-position model. The record is from RNAcentral.